AGUGAACGCUGGCGGUAGGCCUAACACAUGCAAGUCGAACGGCAGCACAGUAAGAGCUUGCUCUUACGGGUGGCGAGUGGCGGACGGGUGAGGAAUACAUCGGAAUCUACUUUUUCGUGGGGGAUAACGUAGGGAAACUUACGCUAAUACCGCAUACGACCUACGGGUGAAAGCAGGGGAUCUUCGGACCUUGCGCGAUUGAAUGAGCCGAUGUCGGAUUAGCUAGUUGGCGGGGUAAAGGCCCACCAAGGCGACGAUCCGUAGCUGGUCUGAGAGGAUGAUCAGCCACACUGGAACUGAGACACGGUCCAGACUCCUACGGGAGGCAGCAGUGGGGAAUAUUGGGCAAUGGGCGCAAGCCUGAUCCAGCCAUACCGCGUGGGUGAGGAAGGCCUUCGGGUUGUAAAGCCCUUUUGUUGGGAAAGAAAAGCAGCAGGUUAAUACCCCGCUGUUCUGACGGUACCCAAAGAAUAAGCACCGGCUAACUUCGUG
RNAcentral lists this ribosomal RNA (492 nucleotides) under uncultured bacterium. RNAcentral describes it as "partial 16S ribosomal RNA". It matches the Rfam family "Bacterial small subunit ribosomal RNA", at positions 29 to 507 of the family's 1533-position model. The record is from RNAcentral.